RNAcentral lists this long non-coding RNA (252 nucleotides) under Mytilus galloprovincialis (Mediterranean mussel). Lineage: Eukaryota; Metazoa; Mollusca; Bivalvia; Mytilida; Mytilidae. The record is from RNAcentral.
UGAAAGAUUUUAAAUAUCUUCUUCUGUAACGAGAAGUAUAACCUUUGAUUUUAACCUAAAAAAUUCUAAGAGCCUUAAACAUUAAAAGACCGAAAAAUGUUCAAUCCGCCUUUAAUUUUACUUUAUACCUGUAGAGAUGCCAUGAUUUGUUUAAAGCAUUUCAAACUAAAAGAAGUUUAUUAGGAAAAACAAUUGCUGAGAACAUAGUCAGUGAUUAGCUACUGUAAAAUCCAUUAGAAAAAUACAACCAGG